This 253-nucleotide ribosomal RNA is filed under the name uncultured bacterium. RNAcentral describes it as "partial 16S ribosomal RNA". It matches the Rfam family "Bacterial small subunit ribosomal RNA", at positions 524 to 776 of the family's 1533-position model. The record is from RNAcentral.
UACAGGGGGUGCAAACGUUGCUCGGAAUCAUUGGGCGUAAAGCGCACGUAGGCGGUUCGUUAUGUCGGAUGUGAAAGCCCUUGGCUUAACCGAGGAAGUGCAUCCGAAACUGGCGAGCUAGAGUACUAAAGAGGAUCGCGGAAUUCCCGGUGUAGGGGUGAAAUUCGUAGAUAUCGGGAGGAACACCGGUGGCGAAGGCGGCGAUCUGGGUAGAUACUGACGCUGAGGUGCGAAAGCGUGGGGAGCAAACAGG